RNAcentral lists this ribosomal RNA (518 nucleotides) under Fusarium oxysporum. RNAcentral's name for it is "eukaryotic LSU rRNA". The stretch from base 156 to 309 matches the Rfam family "5.8S ribosomal RNA". Lineage: Eukaryota; Fungi; Ascomycota; Sordariomycetes; Hypocreales; Nectriaceae. The record is from RNAcentral.
GGGGGGCUUUCGGGGUUACACUCCCAACCCCUGGGGACAUACCACUUGUUGCCUCGGCGGAUCAGCCCGCUCCCGGUAAAACGGGACGGCCCGCCAGAGGACCCCUAAACUCUGUUUCUAUAUGUAACUUCUGAGUAAAACCAUAAAUAAAUCAAAACUUUCAACGACGGAUCUCUUGGUUCUGGCAUCGAUGAAGAACGCAGCAAAAUGCGAUAAGUAAUGUGAAUUGCAGAAUUCAGUGAAUCAUCAAAUCUUUGAACGCACAUUGCGCCCGCCAGUAUUCUGGCGGGCAUGCCUGUUCCAGCGUCAUUUCCACCCUCAAGCCCAGCUUGGUGUUGGGACUCCCUUCAAUUCCCGUCCCUCAAUUGAUUGGCAGUCCCGUCGAGCUGCCAUCGCGUAGGAGCAGCCCCCUCUUACUGGUGGCCGCCGCCGCCACCCCGUUCGCCCCGCCUUCGGAAUGUUGAGCUCGGGAUCAGGGAGGAAUACCCGCUGAAACUUCGCCUAUCAAAGGGCGGCUA